Molecule: non-coding RNA, 72 nt
Organism: Collariella sp. IMI 366227
Lineage: Eukaryota; Fungi; Ascomycota; Sordariomycetes; Sordariales; Chaetomiaceae
Source: the annotation of a GenBank genome assembly
AGCGGGAUAGUGUAAUGGUAAACAUAUUUAGCUCAUGCCUAAAUGAAUAAGGUUCGAAUCCUUUGUCCGCGU